AUAACGUGAUGGGAAGCGGUGCUUCCCAUGUAUGAUUGAACCCAUUCUUAGGGUUCUUUUUUGU
RNAcentral lists this small RNA (64 nucleotides) under Enterobacter sp. 638. RNAcentral's name for it is "sroE RNA". It matches the Rfam family "sroE RNA". From Rfam's summary of the family: This family consists of a number of bacterial sroE RNA genes of around 90 bases in length. sroE is found in several Enterobacterial species but its function is unknown. Lineage: Bacteria; Pseudomonadati; Pseudomonadota; Gammaproteobacteria; Enterobacterales; Enterobacteriaceae. The record is from Rfam by way of RNAcentral.